UUCUCCAAAUCAUAUCAGUUGCAGUUUCCAGACUAUUCGCUGGACAUUAAACAACUCAAUAAAGCUUGGAAAAGAGUUGAUCAUCUGUGGUCAUAGUAAUCAGUGAGUGCAGCCACCUUCUCUUCUCAUAAGUCUAUAAAAAAUGAUUUUUAUCCAUUGGUAGUGUGAUUGAGCCAUGCACUGAAGCAAAGGUAGAGCUUGAGCAGUAGCUUUCUCCAUAUGAAGAGGAUGCAACUUAAUAAGUCUUAAAUUAUUCAAUUUUCCAUCAUCCUUUUUUAGUGUCAAGUAAAAGCUUGUUAUUUAUUUCUUUGUUUGUUGAAAAAUUCCCUGAAGAAUUUAUUCAUUUUACUCUUGCGACAGUUUCUGGAAUACUUUGAAAAAUGAUCAUUACAUUCACUUCAAAGUUAGAAUGAUUGAACCAUGUGCUCAAACAAAUCCCAAAGGCACUGUGCCUUGGUCAACAUUUUUCCUUUUAUGAAAUUGACAUAGUUUGUAUAAAAGGCAUGUAUGAAAUGGACAUAUCUUAAUUAUUCAAUUGUCAGAACUAUUAUUAACUAAAGGCGGCUUUCUUCAAAGCAAGAUGCAUUUUUUUUAGUAGUCUAACCAUUGCAGUUUGCACUCUAACCAGUAUUUAAAAUUCAUUGUUCUUUGAGAUUAGUGUCUGAAUGAUUUCUCAAACAAUGGAGUAGCUCAGUUCACUAGUCUCAGAAGAUUGAAUAACAACUUUUGCAUCAAAGUAGCAAACAGAUUAGUGUCUGAAUGAUUUCUCAAACAAUGGAGUAGCUCGUCAUUACUCUCAGAAGAUUGGAAAACAACUUCUUUGCAUCAAAGUAGCAAACAGGUCCAUCUUCCUGGACGAUUACACUUCAACCAGAUGGAACAGCUAGAAAAAAGAUGGGUUGCUGAAGACAUUCUCCAUAUCAUAUCAAUUGGUGAGUACAGUUUGUAUUGUCUUUAGUUAGUAACAGCAUGUUUACAUUAUAGAAUAUCUACAUAAUCAUCAGCAUAUCCUGGAUAUAACUUGGUGCACUGCGCUUCUAGAACCACCCUGUGAGAGUUAUAUUUGGCUGUAACCAAGGCUUCUGUUAUUUAAAAACAUGUGUUGUCAAUUGAAACUACAAAAAUGUUUCACAAUAUGUAACUGGCUUGUGUCACUGAUAUGUUUCAUUGUAAGAUGUUCCUAGGAUGGGAGUCCAAUCAACAGAAAUUACAAUUAUUCAGUCUUUUCGUCAUGUCAAGAUGGCUCUUUUUUUGCUUUUCCAGGCUCACUUGUUUAUUUCAAAUGCAAUGGCUAUAAAACUUGAGGAAUGAGGAGAAUUAUUUUAGUUUAAAUUAUGAGCUUAUUUACGCUGCAGUUUUUUUAACAAGUCAUGUGCCCAGUGAAGAUUUGGAUGUUAUAUAGUUGUCACAAAUUAUCAUUAGUAUCAUUAGAGAAGAAGUGCAGAGGUAGAUCAUCUUUAUGUACAUGUAACCCUGAAAUUCUUUUUACUUGAAGUUUCAUGUACCUGAUGCUCCCUUAGAAAUGAAAGUAAGGCAUCAACCAAAAUUUCUGGGAGAAGGUUGCUAGGCAAUUUUUUCAAUUUUAUAUGCAGUUUUUCAAUUUUACAUUGUACCAAA
Long non-coding RNA from Orbicella faveolata, 1617 nucleotides. The record is from RefSeq and is a predicted model, not a curated record. NCBI's taxonomy places the organism in Eukaryota, Metazoa, Cnidaria, Anthozoa, Scleractinia, Merulinidae.